RNAcentral lists this ribosomal RNA (463 nucleotides) under bacterium enrichment culture DGGE gel band A37. RNAcentral's name for it is "bacterial SSU rRNA". It matches the Rfam family "Bacterial small subunit ribosomal RNA", at positions 21 to 478 of the family's 1533-position model. The record is from RNAcentral.
GGCUCAGAUUGAACGCUGGCGGCAUGCUUUACACAUGCAAGUCGAACGGCAGCGGGGGCUUCGGCCUGCCGGCGAGUGGCGAACGGGUGAGUAAUGCAUCGGAACGUGCCCAUGUCGUGGGGGAUAACGUAUCGAAAGGUACGCUAAUACCGCAUACGUCCUGAGGGAGAAAGCGGGGGAUCUUCGGACCUCGCGCGAUUGGAGCGGCCGAUGUCGGAUUAGCUAGUAGGUGAGGUAAAGGCUCACCUAGGCGACGAUCCGUAGCGGGUCUGAGAGGAUGAUCCGCCACACUGGGACUGAGACACGGCCCAGACUCCUACGGGAGGCAGCAGUGGGGAAUUUUGGACAAUGGGCGCAAGCCUGAUCCAGCCAUGCCGCGUGAGUGAAGAAGGCCUUCGGGUUGUAAAGCUCUUUCGGCCGGGAAGAAAUCGUGGUCUCUAACAUAGGCCAUGGAUGACGGUAC